Brassica napus (rape) is the source of this 1016-nucleotide long non-coding RNA. RefSeq lists it as uncharacterized. The transcript is spliced from 3 exons. The record is from RefSeq and is a predicted model, not a curated record. NCBI's taxonomy places the organism in Eukaryota, Viridiplantae, Streptophyta, Magnoliopsida, Brassicales, Brassicaceae.
AUUAAAAGUCAGAGAACCGCUGUGUAUUUCGGGACUUUUAGUGUUGUUAAGAGACCUAUCUGUCAUGGUGUUAUUCGACCUCUCAUCUAUGACUCUCUCCUUCGUCGGCUUGUCCUUCUCCGCUCCGUUCGUUGCAAGCUCGAGUCCUCCGCUCCGAUCAAACCUCCCGAGUUGAUGCGUCUCCACGCAGUCUGCUUCCAUGAAUUGAAGACUGCGGUGGUGUUGCUGGGAGAUACGGAGAUUCAUUUAGUGGCGAUGCCGAGCAAGGAGAAGAAGUUCCCUUGUUUCUAGUGUUUCUCAGUCUCUUCAGGUCUUUAUGAUUUCUUAUUCGGAUCAUUCCUGAGGUUAGUAGACAAUCGAGAGCGCUUUGUUCAUCCUCUGAACGAAUUUGAGUGUUUGUGAUAUAGGAUUCUAUUAGAGAGAUUGUUUCUGAGUAUAACGUUUACGAGCAUAUGGUGAUUACUAAGAUCAAAGGUCUGUUUUUACACUCAGUGCUUUGAUUUGCUCUCGUUGUUGUUAUCUUAACGUCAUGUGAUGAUUCAAUGUUUGUAUGCAAAUGGUGUAAACGUUGCUGCAUCUCAUCCUCUAAUAUCAGGCGGUUUAGCCUUUGGUGUUGGAGUCUUUGCUCUGAAAAGUGUUCUGAAGUUUAGAUGUGGUGGUAAAGUAAGUAAGCUUUAACAUGUUGUCUUGGUCUGUGCUGGAAUGAUGUUGCAAACCCAACAUCUUUUGCUUUCUCGGUUGUUUUUUGUGAAGAACACUUGGUUUAACAAUGAAUAUAACCCAACGUUAUGCAUGGCUUGCUCUGAGUUUAACCCAACGUCUAUUUAUUAUAUUUGUUUGUUCAUAUGAUUAUGUUCUCUUUGUUUUUAUUGUGUGUAUUGUCUCUGAUCAGUAUUUUUUGCAGGUGGAAAACAAUAAAAAACUUGUUACAAAAGAGAACAUAAUCCAAUAAUUUAUAAGUUUUGUACAAUUUAAAUUUAAUAAUUCAACUUUUAAAAUUAAAAAAAAAAAUUGAA